GUUGGUAGGGUAAAGGCCUACCAAGGCGACGAUCGGUAGCUGGUCUGAGAGGAUGGCCAGCCACACUGGAACUGAGACACGGUCCAGACUCCUACGGGAGGCAGCAGUGGGGAAUAUUGGACAAUGGGGGCAACCCUGAUCCAGCAAUGCCGCGUGUGUGAAGAAGGCCUGAGGGUUGUAAAGCACUUUCAGUGGAGAGGAGGGAUGCUUGGUUAAGAGCUGAGUAUUUGGACGUUACCCACAGAAGAAGCACCGGCUAACUCCGUGCCAGCAGCCGCGGUAAUACGGAGGGUGCGAGCGUUAAUCGGAAUUACUGGGCGUAAAGGGUGC
This 330-nucleotide ribosomal RNA is filed under the name uncultured Legionellales bacterium. Its description in RNAcentral is "bacterial SSU rRNA". It matches the Rfam family "Bacterial small subunit ribosomal RNA", at positions 248 to 570 of the family's 1533-position model. Lineage: Bacteria; Pseudomonadati; Pseudomonadota; Gammaproteobacteria; Legionellales. The record is from RNAcentral.